ACACAUAUAUAUAUAACUGUUUUAAUGAAUACUAACUUGAGCAUUAUGGUAGUAAUAGAUUACAUCUAUUCUAAAUUUUUCCCCAUUUUUUGUUCUGCAUCUGGAUUUUAAACUAAUGCCAUCAUGGCUUCUUUUUACAGAGCUGUGACCUAAAAAUGUAAUAAUAAUUGUUAAACAGUUAUCGUUUUAUAAAGUAAAUGGAAACUAUGAUGAAGGUAUACAAUUUGAACAAAAAUGAUUAAAAUAUUUUUUUUACAUAUAUGAUUUAAUUCUUAAAAUUAAAAAGAAGAUUUGUAAGGCAAAUCCACAGAACCAGUUUGUUAACAUAAGUCAGAUGUUUUUGUUGCCAUCUUCCUUACAAAGGUAUGUUGUUUUCUUAAGGCACUUAAGCUUCAUCCACCAAUAAAAGCUAACCAACACACACAAGAGACCAAAUGACACAGAAAGUUUUGUAUGUAGUUCUAAUAUGUGUUUAAUUUUUUGUACAUUAACUAGGCCGUUAGUUUUCUCGUUUGAAUUGUUUUACAUUGUUAAUUUUGGGGCCUUUUAUAGUUGACUAUGCUUUGCUCAUUGUUGUAGGCCGUACGUAGACCUAUAGCUGUUAGUUUCUGUGUCAUUUUUGUCUCUUGUGGAGAGUUGUCUCAUUUGCAAUCAUACACCAUCUUCUUUUUUAUAUGUCUACCGAAGAACUGACGUAUCUUAAUUUUCUAAUAAAUCAUCGUAAACUUCAUAUAUGUCAUCUCCCCAACCCCAACCCCACUUAAAAAAGAAAUCAAAUAGUUUUGCUUAUUUUUAACGUCCAGUGACUAAUAUUUCAUGGAUGCCGAACGGUUGAGGAAAACACGAGUUUAAAAGUCAUGUAUAUAAUAUCAAAAGAAGGAGAUGUGCUAUGAUUGCCAAUUAGGCUCCUGACUUGUGACAGACUGAAGCACAUAAAGAGUGUGACAAGGUUAAAUAUUUUUGUGAGCGCUCAGCCCUUCCCUAAACUUGGACAGUGAUGUAACAGUACAACAUAAGAACAAUCUGUAAAAAUCAGUUGCAAAUGGAUUAACUCAAAAGAUCGGUACGAGAAACAAGAACAAAAUUAACAACUAACAUUAAGACAAUAAACACAAAGCAUCGAAAUAAGAGUAUUUCCAAUAACUGAAAGCUUGUUCAAAGCCAAUUACAACUUACAAAUAAAUUAUGUUCUCCCUGACGAGAGAGGACAAUCAUUACAUAACCAACGGAUUUAGUCAGAAGCAGUCUGAGAAAUGCCACAACCUUGUAUAAUAUACAUAUACAAUUAAGGUUCUCGAAAAGUGGUGGUCCGAAGGUUUUGAUCAUCAAAAUUUUGCAAGGAACGGCACAUUUUUGGCAUUUGGCAAUAGAAUUAAUAGUUAGGACCAGCAGAUUUUCUUCAAGAACCACCAGGGAAGAAAGAUGGUGAGAACCGUCUGCGAUAUCUUUUAUAUACAACAAUAAUCUAGCUUUGUUACUUGAGAAAAAUUGAGGCAAGAUAUCAGUUUCGAUCAUAUACCAGACAAACAUUGACAAAUUCUUGUACAGUUUAAGAUUAUUGCUGAAAAUUAAAUGGUCGGAGCUUUAAGCCGGAUUUGUUGAGCUUAAUCAAGUUAGAAAAGCAUAAAGAAAAAAUGACACGAACACAUGCAGCGAUUUCUUCCAACUAAUUUUCUUUGUUUUUUCACUGAUAAUAUGAUUACAUCAAUGCCAAAACAGAGUCAUGUCUACCGAAUGACCUGACGUAACUAGAAAUUUUCUAAUAAAUCAUCGUAAACUUUGUCAUCCAACAUAAAAAAAAAAAUUCUGCAUAACUCCAGUAGAGGGCCAGGCUUAUUUAUUUGGACUCUUCACUAGAAGACAUUCUGGAGAUGUACAGAUGAGACCAAAUAAAACACGCCCCUGGUGACAAUAAAGAUCAAUUAAUUUCACUUGUUACUUGCACCUUCAGUUAGGUUCUUCCAAAGAGAAUAUGAUUUUUCCCUGUGAUUUUUAAAUCUUGCUACUCAUGUCUUUCUUUCAUAGGCAGAUCAAUCUAAUGAAUAUGCCCCCUGUAUGUCAUCCAUGUCACCAACGGUAGAGAACCAAGGCGAAAAUAUGGACAUAGAACAAUCAGAGAAUGAAGAAAUUAUCACAGACACGCCAAGACAAGUGUAUGCAAAUAGAUUUUUAUCUGGUAGAAACAUAUUUGCAUAUAUGUAAGAAAUUCAAAAGGCGGUGGAUGCAAUAAAUAAGAAAAUAGACUUCCAAAAAAAAUUUCAGGGUUGAAGGAAAAAUUAGAGUUGAACUGAGUACAGUUGCAAAGUCAGCAUUUGGUGUCGACAUAUUUGAUAUUUCUGGUGUUUUCAUUGAUGAACUAAAGCAGAUCGUGGUUAUAGAGAUGAACAGGUCAGCUACGCCUUACGAAAUAAGAAUGGCAAAACAAUUCAUGAAAAGGAAAUUUUCUAUGGAAUAUAGACCUAACAUGUACAGAAAUGUAAGAAUAAUUCAUAUGUGUUGUUUUGUACAAUUUCCUCAUAGUAAUC
Mytilus californianus (California mussel) is the source of this 2525-nucleotide long non-coding RNA. RefSeq lists it as uncharacterized. The transcript is spliced from 4 exons. NCBI's taxonomy places the organism in Eukaryota, Metazoa, Mollusca, Bivalvia, Mytilida, Mytilidae. The record is from RefSeq and is a predicted model, not a curated record.